AGAUCACUUGAGCCCAGGAGUUAGAGGCUGCAGUGAGCUAUGAUCAUGCCACCGCAAUCCAGCUUGGGCAACAGAA
Molecule: small nuclear RNA, 76 nt
Filed under: Homo sapiens (human)
Lineage: Eukaryota; Metazoa; Chordata; Mammalia; Primates; Hominidae
Description: partial ncRNA
Source: RNAcentral